AAAGUCGUAACAAGGUUUCCGUUGGUGAACCAGCGGAGGGAUCAUUA
This 47-nucleotide ribosomal RNA is filed under the name Ceratocystis albifundus. RNAcentral's name for it is "partial 18S ribosomal RNA". It matches the Rfam family "Eukaryotic small subunit ribosomal RNA", at positions 1785 to 1831 of the family's 1831-position model. The record is from RNAcentral. Lineage: Eukaryota; Fungi; Ascomycota; Sordariomycetes; Microascales; Ceratocystidaceae.